Cyanistes caeruleus (blue tit) is the source of this 609-nucleotide long non-coding RNA. RefSeq lists it as uncharacterized. NCBI's taxonomy places the organism in Eukaryota, Metazoa, Chordata, Aves, Passeriformes, Paridae. The record is from RefSeq and is a predicted model, not a curated record.
CUGUCAGCGGAAACUGAAAUGAGGAGCUGGGGUUUGUACAGAAAUGUUCCGAAGCUGUUCAUAGGGCCGUCUACCAGCCCCUUCAUUGUGCGGCUGCACAGCAGAAAGCAGAGCAGAGCUCCGAGAAUCAGCUGCGUAACUUGCAUGUGAGCUCCAGCCCCGCUUGUCGGAGUGCCUGCCGGGGUGGUGAGGGCGAGGGAAGCCGGAGGCAUGGCUCCAUGCUGCCGGGGACCGCGAGCAUGGAAGGAGGCCGCAGGGCUGGGGAGCUGGCCUGCAGCCCCUCUGUGGGGCGAGGGCACGGCCAUUCCUGCCUACGGCAGGCCCUUGCUUGUGUGUAAGAAGCUUCAACAGUCAUCGAAGGCGGGUCUGGUCUGCCAAAACGGGGAAAUGAGAAGAAAUUCAGAGGCAUGUGACAUCCCUAAGGAGUUCUUGGAAAUCCAGAUGGAAAUUCUUAAUGCAUGGAGUUGGCAGUGUGUCUGGUUGCAAGUUUACAGCACUUGUAUAAUUUUCACAGGUGAUUUGUGCUUUGUGUUUUCCCACAGUAAAGGAUCUGGAGUGAAAGGGUGUGACUUUUUCCUUGUCUCUGAUGCCAUGUGCCAGUAGCAGCUC